UGCGUAGGUGGUGGGGUAAGUCUCGUGUGAAAGCUCGCAGCUUAACUGCGAAAAGUCACGGGAUACUAUCCGGCUAGAGGCUUGGGAGGGGGGGACUGGAAUACUUGGUGUAGCAGUGAAAUGCGUAGAUAUCAAGUGGAACACCAGUGGCGAAGGCGAGUCCCUGGACAAGACCUGACACUGAGGCACGAAAGCCAGGGAGCAAACA
This 208-nucleotide ribosomal RNA is filed under the name uncultured bacterium. RNAcentral's name for it is "partial 16S ribosomal RNA". It matches the Rfam family "Bacterial small subunit ribosomal RNA", at positions 568 to 774 of the family's 1533-position model. The record is from RNAcentral.